Molecule: ribosomal RNA, 483 nt
Filed under: uncultured soil bacterium
Lineage: Bacteria
Description: bacterial SSU rRNA
Rfam family: Bacterial small subunit ribosomal RNA
Source: RNAcentral
AGGACGAACGCUGGCGGCGUGCUUAACACAUGCAAGUCGAGCGGUAAGGCCUUUCGGGGUACACGAGCGGCGAACGGGUGAGUAACACGUGGGUGAUCUGCCCUGCACUUCGGGAUAAGCCUGGGAAACUGGGUCUAAUACCGGAUAUGACCUGCUCUCGCAGUGGGGGUGGGUGGAAAGAUUUAUCGGUGCAGGAUGGGCCCGCGGCCUAUCAGCUUGUUGGUGGGGUAAUGGCCUACCAAGGCGACGACGGGUAGCCGACCUGAGAGGGUGACCGGCCACGACUGGGACUGAGACACGGCCCAGACUCCUACGGGAGGCAGCAGUGGGAAUAUGCACAAUGGGCGAAAGCCUGAUGCAGCGACGCCGCGUGAGGAGUGAAGGCCGUUCGGGUUGUAAACCGUUCGUUUCCAGCGAGGACGAAGACGCGAAGUGACGGUACCUAGCAGAAGAAGACCACGGCAACUACGUGCCAGCAGCCGC